AUUGAGCGCUGGCGGCAGGCCUAACACAUGCAAGUCGAACGGUAACAGAAAGCAGCUUGCUGCUUUGCUGACGAGUGGCGGACGGGUGAGUAAUGUCUGGGAAACUGCCUGAUGGAGGGGGAUAACUACUGGAAACGGUAGCUAAUACCGCAUAACGUCGCAAGACCAAAGAGGGGGACCUUCGGGCCUCUUGCCAUCGGAUGUGCCCAGAUGGGAUUAGCUAGUAGGUGGGGUAACGGCUCACCUAGGCGACGAUCCCUAGCUGGUCUGAGAGGAUGACCAGCCACACUGGAACUGAGACACGGUCCAGACUCCUACGGGAGGCAGCAGUGGGGAAUAUUGCACAAUGGGCGCAAGCCUGAUGCAGCCAUGCCGCGUGUAUGAAGAAGGCCUUCGGGUUGUAAAGUACUUUCAGCGGGGAGGAAGGGAGUAAAGUUAAUACCUUUGCUCAUUGACGUUACCCGCAGAAGAAGCACCGGCUAACUCCGUG
This 490-nucleotide ribosomal RNA is filed under the name uncultured bacterium. Its description in RNAcentral is "partial 16S ribosomal RNA". It matches the Rfam family "Bacterial small subunit ribosomal RNA", at positions 30 to 507 of the family's 1533-position model. The record is from RNAcentral.